This is a long non-coding RNA of Triticum dicoccoides, 340 nucleotides long. RefSeq lists it as uncharacterized. The record is from RefSeq and is a predicted model, not a curated record. Lineage: Eukaryota; Viridiplantae; Streptophyta; Magnoliopsida; Poales; Poaceae. The transcript is spliced from 2 exons.
UGGUGCUACACUGCUACUGCUCCUAUGAUGGCUACACAUUGGUAGGCUCGACUGCCUCCCUUGGCUGUCGCUGGAUCAGCCUAGUCUACAACCACUUCCGAUGACUCAGGAGUUCCUCGGCCAAACAAAUUCGAAGAAGCUCAAAGCCCCAGUCAAAGGCUCGCUUUAUAUAUUAUUGAACUUGUAAUGCAAAAUUUGCUUGGAAUUUUGACGUAAUGCUGAUCUUGCUAGGAAUUGGGUGUAUAUUUACUUGUUGUACCUAUUAUUUAAUGUUCGAUGUACUUGUUAUUCAAAUGCUGGGAAUUUGUAUUUGUGCUAAAUGUAUUUAGUUGGAUGUGAA